UGAGGUAAAGAACAUAGCUGCAUUUGUCUUU
This 31-nucleotide non-coding RNA is filed under the name Rattus norvegicus (Norway rat). Lineage: Eukaryota; Metazoa; Chordata; Mammalia; Rodentia; Muridae. The record is from RNAcentral.